UCUCCGUUGGUGAACCAGCGGAGGGAUCAUUACAGAGUUGUAAAACUCCCAAACCCACUGUGAACAUACCUCUGUUGCCUCGGCGGCCUACCUGGCAGCUACCCUGUAGCUACCCUAUAAGGUGGUUACCCUGUAACGCUCCGCCGGUGGAUUUUCAAACUCUUGUUAUUUAUUGUAAUCUGAGCGUCUUAUUUUAAAUAAGUCAAAACUUUCAACAACGGAUCUCUUGGUUCUGGCAUAGAUGAAGAACGCAGC
Molecule: unclassified non-coding RNA, 255 nt
Filed under: uncultured fungus
Lineage: Eukaryota; Fungi
Description: sequence contains ITS1, 5.8S rRNA gene
Rfam family: 5.8S ribosomal RNA (bases 207-255)
Source: RNAcentral